UAGCCCUACGGGGCGCAGCAGUGGGGAAUAUUGCUCAAUGGGGGAAACCCUGAAGCAGCAACGCCGCGUGGAGGAUGAAGGUUUUCGGAUUGUAAACUCCUUUUGUUAGAGAAGAUAAUGACGGUAUCUAACGAAUAAGCACCGGCUAACUCCGUGCCAGCAGCCGCGGUAAUACGGAGGGUGCAAGCGUUACUCGGAAUCACUGGGCGUAAAGAGCGCGUAGGCGGGAUAGCAAGUCAGAUGUGAAAUCCUAUGGCUUAACCAUAGAAUUGCAUUUGAAACUGGUAUUUUAGA
This 294-nucleotide ribosomal RNA is filed under the name uncultured bacterium. Its description in RNAcentral is "partial 16S ribosomal RNA". It matches the Rfam family "Bacterial small subunit ribosomal RNA", at positions 334 to 645 of the family's 1533-position model. The record is from RNAcentral.